UCAACUUUAUUAGAAGAGACGCAUUUAUUAGAUAAAAAGCCAGUUCAUGCUUUUACAGUAUGAAAAUUGGUGAUUUAUAAUAACUUAGCAAAUCGCAAAGUGAAAACAGGCGAUAAAUCAUUCAAGUUUCUGACCUAUCAGCUUUCGACGGUAUGGUAUUGGCUUACCGUGGCAGUGACGGUUAACGGGGGAUUAGGGUUCGAUUCCGGAGAGGGAGCCUGAGAAACGGCUACCACAUCUAAGGAAGGCAGCAGGCGCGCAAAUUACCCAAUUCUAACAGUUUGAGAGAGGUAGUAACAAGAAAUAACAAUACAAGGCAGUUAAAAUGCUUUGUAAUUGGAAUGAUAGAAAUUUAAACCCUUUUUAAAGUAUCAAUUGGAGGGCAAGUCUGGUGCCAGCAGCCGCGGUAAUUCCAGCUCCAAUAGCGUAUAUUAAAAUUGUUGCAGUUAAAAAGCUCGUAGUUGAAGUUCUGCUGAAAGUAACCGGUCUGCUUUUAAUAAAAGUGGUAUCUUGGUAUGUAUUUAGCAAUGAUGUCCUUUGAAGUGUUUUUUACUUUAUUGUAAUAAAGCAUAUUCAGGACUUUUACUUGAGAAAAUU
Molecule: ribosomal RNA, 597 nt
Filed under: Hepatozoon canis
Lineage: Eukaryota; Apicomplexa; Hepatozoidae
Description: bacterial SSU rRNA
Rfam family: Eukaryotic small subunit ribosomal RNA
Source: RNAcentral